This 225-nucleotide ribosomal RNA is filed under the name uncultured bacterium. Its description in RNAcentral is "partial 16S ribosomal RNA". It matches the Rfam family "Bacterial small subunit ribosomal RNA", at positions 524 to 747 of the family's 1533-position model. The record is from RNAcentral.
UACGGAGGGUGCGAGCGUUGUCCGGAAUCACUGGGCGUAAAGGGCGCGUAGGCGGCUGGGGAAGUCGGCGGUGAAAGCCCGGAGCUCAACUCCGGGUCGGCCGUCGAGACUCCUCGGCUCGAGCUCACUAGAGGCAGAGUGGAAUUCCGGGUGUAGCGGUGGAAUGCGUAGAGAUCCGGAAGAACACCGGUGGCGAAGGCGGUCUGCUGGGGUGAGGCUGACGCU